AUUGAACGCUGGCGGCAUGCUUUACACAUGCAAGUCGAACGGCAGCGCGGGCUUCGGCCUGGCGGCGAGUGGCGAACGGGUGAGUAAUGCAUCGGAACGUGCCCAGUAGUGGGGGAUAGCCCGGCGAAAGCCGGAUUAAUACCGCAUACGACCUGAGGGUGAAAGCGGGGGACCGAAAGGCCUCGCGCUAUUGGGGCGGCCGAUGUCGGAUUAGCUAGUUGGUGGGGUAAAGGCUUACCAAGGCGACGAUCCGUAGCUGGUCUGAGAGGACGACCAGCCACACUGGGACUGAGACACGGCCCAGACUCCUACGGGAGGCAGCAGUGGGGAAUUUUGGACAAUGGGGGCAACCCUGAUCCAGCCAUGCCGCGUGCGGGAAGAAGGCCUUCGGGUUGUAAACCGCUUUUGUUCAGGAAGAAAUCCUCUGGGCUAAUACCCCGGGGGGAUGACGGUACCGGAAGAAUAAGCACCGGCUAACUACGUG
This 484-nucleotide ribosomal RNA is filed under the name uncultured bacterium. RNAcentral describes it as "partial 16S ribosomal RNA". It matches the Rfam family "Bacterial small subunit ribosomal RNA", at positions 28 to 507 of the family's 1533-position model. The record is from RNAcentral.